RNAcentral lists this ribosomal RNA (486 nucleotides) under uncultured bacterium. RNAcentral's name for it is "bacterial SSU rRNA". It matches the Rfam family "Bacterial small subunit ribosomal RNA", at positions 30 to 511 of the family's 1533-position model. The record is from RNAcentral.
AUUGAACGCUGGCGGCAGGCCUAACACAUGCAAGUCGAGCGGAUGAGUGGAGCUUGCUCCAUGAUUCAGCGGCGGACGGGUGAGUAAUGCCUAGGAAUCUGCCUGGUAGUGGGGGACAACGUUUCGAAAGGAACGCUAAUACCGCAUACGUCCUACGGGAGAAAGCAGGGGACCUUCGGGCCUUGCGCUAUCAGAUGAGCCUAGGUCGGAUUAGCUAGUAGGUGAGGUAAUGGCUCACCUAGGCACGAUCCGUAACUGGUCUGAGAGGAUGAUCAGUCACACUGGAACUGAGACACGGUCCAGACUCCUACGGAGGCAGCAGUGGGAAUAUUGGACAAUGGGCGAAAGCCUGAUCCAGCCAUGCCGCGUGUGUGAAGAAGGUCUUCGGAUGUAAAGCACUUUAAGUUGGGAGGAAGGGUAGUAACCUAAUACGUUGCUACUUUGACGUUACCGACAGAAUAAGCACCGGCUAACGUUACGUGCCAG